This 91-nucleotide transfer RNA is filed under the name Actinoplanes digitatis. RNAcentral describes it as "Amorphoplanes digitatis tRNA-OTHER". The record is from RNAcentral. Lineage: Bacteria; Bacillati; Actinomycetota; Actinomycetes; Micromonosporales; Micromonosporaceae.
AGGGUGAUGGUCGGUGAAGCACGAUGAUCAGGCGCACCCGGCGGAUCUCCUACUCCGUCGGUCGCAGGUUCGAAUCCUGCCGGGCGCGCCA